AAGUCCUGUAAAGUCCAGUAGGAGUCUUGAAGGUGAUCUUUCCAGUCGGCGGGUCAUCGAGAUAAAUAUCGCUCAAUGUGACCCAUAGCAAGAGCUCCUUAGUCUUGACACCGGUGAGUUUCUUGAUCUUUCCUUUUUCAAUAAUAGCAGUGACUUCAGUGGCGUAGGACACAAGUUUCCCAAUCUUCUCAAACUUGUGCUCAACUUUCUUCUUCUGGAUCAGCCAGACAUAGCCAGUCUCUCUGAUGAUACCACAUUCCACAAUGUCUUGCAGAGGCAAGAGCCCAUUUGGCAGGCCCAUUUCUACCAGCAAGGUCUUUGAUUUCUCUUGGCAUAUUUCAUGGCC
RNAcentral lists this long non-coding RNA (346 nucleotides) under Daucus carota (carrot). RNAcentral describes it as "long non-coding RNA (DCAR_LNC001091)". The record is from RNAcentral. Lineage: Eukaryota; Viridiplantae; Streptophyta; Magnoliopsida; Apiales; Apiaceae.